AAAUCUCCGAGAUUGCAUCAUGUUUCUUUUCAUUACAUUACGGUUGCCUGUUCAGAAGUCAGAGACGAUCCUGUGCUGAUUGCUGUGGGCGUGGCUCAGCUGGCAGGUGGCUCCAGGUGCAGCUCAUUCCCUCAUCAACCUCCUGCAGUAUUUAAGGCUGGCUCUGUGAUCCACUUGUUGCCAGAUCGUACAGUCUACAAGUGUGGUUGCAGCCUACCUUGCUCGUUUGUCUGCCUGCCUGCUUGCUCCUCACACCUGCCCUUCUCUCUCUACUGAUUGGACUCAAUUGUUUGGACUCUGAAGG
Molecule: long non-coding RNA, 304 nt
Organism: Perca fluviatilis (European perch)
Lineage: Eukaryota; Metazoa; Chordata; Actinopteri; Perciformes; Percidae
Exons: 3
Source: RefSeq, a predicted model, not a curated record